GGAUUGUGUUGACUCCCACAAAUGCUUGGGAAUCUGAACAAAAUGAGUGAGCAGUCCCUAUGGUCUCCUCAUUGAAAUUAAGUUC
Small nucleolar RNA from Capra hircus (goat), 85 nucleotides. Its record names the gene SNORD116. It matches the Rfam family "Small nucleolar RNA SNORD116". From Rfam's summary of the family: HBII-85 is a member of the C/D class of snoRNAs, which contain the C (UGAUGA) and D (CUGA) box motifs. HBII-85 is encoded in a tandemly repeated array with another C/D snoRNA, HBII-52, in the Prader-Willi syndrome (PWS) region of chromosome 15. The record is from Ensembl. Lineage: Eukaryota; Metazoa; Chordata; Mammalia; Artiodactyla; Bovidae.